GGUUCGAUUAUGGCUCAGAUUGAACGCUGGCGGGAUGCUUACACAUGCAAGUCGAACGGCAGCACGGACUUCUGGUCUGGUGGCGAGUGGCGAACGGGUGAGUAAUGUAUCGGAACGUGCCUAGUAGCGGGGGAUAACUACGCGAAAGCGUAGCUAAUACCGCAUACGUUCUUCGGGGAAAGCGGGGGACCGGGCCUCGCACUAUUAGAGCGGCCGGGAUAUCGAUUGGGUUAUUGGCGGUAAUGCUCAUCAGCACGAUCCGUAAUGGUUUCGGAGAGGACGACUGUCACACGACUGGGACGAGACAUUACUCAGACUCCUAUCGGAUAUGCGCAGUAAUUUUGAUUAUUGAAACCUGACUAGCCGACUCAUGUGUGCGAUGGAAGUGGCUCGUUGUAACACGCAGCAGAAGAACGUCGAUAAUAUCCGUGGCAACUGGCUUGUGUUCUGCAGAAUGUAAAGUGCCUGCCAACUACGCCAAGCGCCGCACAUGUAGUGCGGUUAUCGGAAUUAUCAGACAAUGGCGGUUCGGAAAGAAAGAUGGAAAUCGAGCUACCUGAACUGCAUUUUUUUAACGUCGAUAGAGUCAGAGGAGGUGAACUGCGUGUAUGAAAUGAUACAGAUGUUGCGAGGAAUCGAUAUAAUGCAAGCCCUGAUAACACCUGACGUAGCCUGCCAACGCAGUAGAGUAAACAGGUCAGGAUAGCUCCAAGAACCAUCAAAUGAUGGUCGUAAUUCAGCCGUUGGGGCGUCUUCGGCCUGGUGGGCAGCAAUAUAGUGAAGUUACUGCCUGGGUGAAUAACGCAGAUUAAAACUCAAAGGAAUUGACGGGGACCCGCACAAGCGGUGGAUGAUGUGGAUUAAUUCGAUGCAACGCGAAAAACCUUACCUACCUUUGACAUGUCUGGAAUCCCGAAGAGAUUUGGGGAGUGCUCGCAAGAGAACCGAAACAGGUGCUGCAUGGCUGUCGUCAGCUCGUGUCGUGAGAUGUUGGGUUAAGUCCCGCAACGAGCGCAACCCUUGUCAUUAGUUGCUACGAAAGGGCACUCUAAUGAGACUGCCGGUGACAAACCGGAGGAAGGUGGGGAUGACGUCAAGUCCUCAUGGCCCUUAUGGGUAGGGCUUCACACGUCAUACAAUGGUCGGGACAGAGGGUCGCCAACCCGCGAGGGGGAGCCAAUCCCAGAAACCCGAUCGUAGUCCGGAUCGCAGUCUGCAACUCGACACUGCGUGAAGUCGGAAUCGCUAGUAAUCGCGGAUCAGCAUGUCGUAGAAUACGUUCCCGGGUCUUGUACACACCGCCCGUCACACCAUGGGAGUGGGUUUUACCAGAAGUAGUUAGCCUAACCGUAAGGAGGGCGAUUACCACGGUAGGAUUCAUGACUGGGGUGAAGCCGUAACAAGGUAG
This 1408-nucleotide ribosomal RNA is filed under the name uncultured Bordetella sp. RNAcentral's name for it is "partial 16S-23S ribosomal RNA intergenic spacer". It matches the Rfam family "Bacterial small subunit ribosomal RNA". The record is from RNAcentral. Lineage: Bacteria; Pseudomonadati; Pseudomonadota; Betaproteobacteria; Burkholderiales; Alcaligenaceae.